GGCAGGGUAUAAAGCACCUGCCCCCCACCUCCCACCCAGCAUACAAGUGCUUUAGAUAUCCAGAGUGUCUGUGACUUGUCCACAAUUGCAGCCCGAGCUAGCAAAAGCAGCAUGGGAACCCAGGCCUUCAAACCCCAAACCCAAAGGUAUUAGCAUUAAGCAAUGGCUCUUCCUGAAGCUACAAGAGCUAAAGGGCAGGUGUCACCUCUGGCUCCUUAGUCAGUUCAUCGGCGAGGCGGAACUACUCCCUACCCAUGAGUAACGGCAGGAGCAGCCGCCACCACAGCCGCCACUCAGAACUAGCCACCGUGCCUGGCACUUCACAAGCCUGUGAGGUGGGCUAUGUUUCUUCACUCGCCAGAGAGAAUAUGAGGGCUCACAAAAUGAACUGCUUAUUCAGGGUUAUGCUGAGAUGAAGAAACCGGGAACAGCUGGACAACAGGAGACGCGAGACUAAAAACCAGGUUUUCUGCCUCAAGAUUUGUAUCUCACACUGACCCCAGAAUCUCUUUGUAGUAUCAAUUCUCUUAUUUAAUCCUCUCUUUUUAAUCACCAAAGGAGAGGUUCUGGACCAGCUCUAAGAAACAGAUUACAAAUUCUAACAUAAGAAGAGUUCAAAUAAAUGGAGUUCUCUUGGAAACAGAAAACGGGUUCAAAAUUUUAAAAGAUCGCUCUCAAGGCCUUAGCCCUUUAAGGUGUUUGCUAAGUGCCAACUCUACUGCAGACCACACUGGCUUCAUGAAUGAGGCACUGAAACUCAAUAGCAAAAUCUGUUUACUAAAAAGAUAAAAAAGAAGUUAGAUAAUGAAAGAGACUUAUUCAAAUAGGGACUAUGAAAACAUUAUGUCUAAGCUCAGAAACACCAACUUUUAAAAUAAACACUCUAAAUCGGUGUCCAAA
Non-coding RNA from Macaca mulatta (Rhesus monkey), 900 nucleotides. The record is from RefSeq and is a predicted model, not a curated record. NCBI's taxonomy places the organism in Eukaryota, Metazoa, Chordata, Mammalia, Primates, Cercopithecidae.